Molecule: ribosomal RNA, 491 nt
Filed under: uncultured bacterium
Lineage: Bacteria
Description: partial 16S ribosomal RNA
Rfam family: Bacterial small subunit ribosomal RNA
Source: RNAcentral
AGUGAACGCUGGCGGUAGGCCUAACACAUGCAAGUCGAACGGCAGCACAGUAAGAGCUUGCUCUUACGGGUGGCGAGUGGCGGACGGGUGAGGAAUACAUCGGAAUCUACUUUUUCGUGGGGGAUAACGUAGGGAAACUUACGCUAAUACCGCAUACGACCUACGGGUGAAAGCAGGGGAUCUUCGGACCUUGCGCGAUUGAAUGAGCCGAUGUCGGAUUAGCUAGUUGGCGGGGUAAAGGCCCACCAUGGCGACGAUCCGUAGCUGGUCUGAGAGGAUGAUCGCCCACACUGAAACUGAGACACGGUCCAGACUCCUACGGGAGGCAGCGGUGGGGAAUAUUGGACAAUGGGCGCAAGCCUGCUCCAGCCAUACCGCGUGGGUGAAGAAGGCCUUCGGGUUGUAAAGCCCUUUUGUUGGGAAAGAAAAGCAGCAGGUUAAUACCCCGCUGUUCUGACGGUACCCAAAGAAUAAGCACCGGCUAACAUCGU